RNAcentral lists this unclassified non-coding RNA (275 nucleotides) under Hevea brasiliensis (rubber tree). The record is from RNAcentral. Lineage: Eukaryota; Viridiplantae; Streptophyta; Magnoliopsida; Malpighiales; Euphorbiaceae.
GAAAUUGUGAGAUAAACUGAUUUUACACUCUCUGUGUCUGAAUUAAUAACAAAAUUUUCGUAAGAACAUGUACAAUUUGUUUCCUUGAAUGAGUUGAUUAAUCAUUUUGCAUAAUUUGAAUUUUAGCUUGUAAUGGCUUUAAAUGAUAUUCUGCAUAGAAAAUCAAAUGGUGCAUGUGGGUUACUAAUUUAUUUCUUCGUCUCCUGCAUCUUUAACAUUUAUGGGGUAGUAUCUCAUGUUACCUAAUUUUGCCAGGUUUCUCAGAAACACCAUGA